This is a long non-coding RNA of Cervus elaphus (red deer), 159 nucleotides long. RefSeq lists it as uncharacterized. Lineage: Eukaryota; Metazoa; Chordata; Mammalia; Artiodactyla; Cervidae. The record is from RefSeq and is a predicted model, not a curated record. The transcript is spliced from 3 exons.
UUUUAAUUUAAAUUUUAUUGUUAUUCUUGUUCAGUCUCUCUGGCAUGUCCGACUCUUUGCAACCCCAUGGACUGCAGCAUGCCAGGCCUCCCUGUCCUUCACCAUCCCAGAACUUGCUCAAACUCAUGUCCAUCGAGUCAGUGAUGCCAUCUAACCAUC